RNAcentral lists this unclassified non-coding RNA (1606 nucleotides) under Apis florea (little honeybee). RNAcentral describes it as "transcription factor Sox-2, transcript variant X1". The record is from RNAcentral. Lineage: Eukaryota; Metazoa; Arthropoda; Insecta; Hymenoptera; Apidae.
GUUCGGUUCAUUCGGUUUGACGGAGGAUUCUCGGGCACGAAUUAACCGUUAACCGUGCCCUCCUUCUCGGCGUUUCGUCGGAAUUUCUUGACGUCGAGAGGUAUCAGUAAACGGCGGCAAACUGUACGGGCACCGGGAAGAAGAAAUGCUCACGAUGGAGACGGACCUGAAGGGCGGCAGCCUGCACGGUCAAAUGCCACCUCACCAAGGUGUAUCGCCAAUGGGCCAUCAUACCGGUGUUUCGCCUUACGGCAGCCUCGGCUCCAUUGUGCACAGCCCGGCGUUGUCCGGCAGCCCUCCGAGCGCCGGAGGUUUGGGCCUCGGCUUGCCGCACCACCACCAGACCCCGCAACACCAUUACGCGUCGAUGCAGGCUGCCCAGCAACAGCAACAGCAGCAGCAACAGCAGACGAUACACUCAUUGACCCAGCAAAACGCCGGCCAACAACAGCAGCAGCAUCAACACCACCCGCACCAACCCCCCCAACAACAGUCCCAAACCUCCCACCAUCAAUCCGCCAACAACAAUAACAACACGAGCAAGAACAACAACAUCGACCGCGUGAAAAGGCCGAUGAACGCGUUCAUGGUGUGGUCCCGCGGGCAACGGAGGAAGAUGGCCCAGGAGAAUCCCAAGAUGCACAACUCGGAGAUAUCGAAACGUUUGGGGGCCGAGUGGAAGUUGCUGAGCGAGACGGAGAAACGUCCCUUCAUCGACGAGGCGAAACGAUUGCGCGCCGUGCACAUGAAGGAGCACCCCGACUACAAGUACAGGCCCCGCCGCAAGACAAAAACCUUGCUCAAGAAGGACAAAUUCCCCCUGGGGGGUGGGGUGGCGGGCGUUGGCGGGAUGCUGGGUGUGGAUCAACGGCAAGUCGGGGGCAACGGUGGCCCCCAGCAGACCCAAUUGUCGCGCGACGUGUAUCAAAUGCCCAACGGUUACAUGCCCAACGGAUACAUGAUGCACGAUCCGACCGCUUACCAGCAACACGUCGCGUACGGGAGCCACAUGGGCGGCGCGGCAGCGGCAGCGGCCGCCUCGGCGGCCGGCUAUCCCAGGUACGACAUGGGCCACCACAUGGGCGGCGGUAGCCCGAGCCCGAUAAACAGCUACAUGAACGGUUACGGUGGUUACGGGAGCACCACCGUGCCGGGUGGCUCGCCCUCGCCUUAUCAUCAAGCGCAGCCGGGAUCGCAAAUGUCGAGCCACAGUCCAAGCGGUAGUAGCAUAAAAUCGGAGCCGACGAGUCCAGCGAGCGGUGGGAUUCACACGCCGACGCCUACCGGCGCGUCGUCGACGGCCGCCGCCGGUGGUCAAAUAGUUAAGCGGGAAUACAUGGGCCAACAACAGACCCAACAAACUCAGGGUGAUCUCAGGCAAAUGAUCUCCAUGUAUUUGCCUCAAGGAGUGGAGCAGGGAGUCGUCCAACAUGGCGCCGGUGUCUACUCGCCUGGACCAUCUCCCGAUCCCUUGGCGCAGCAUCAUACGGCCAUUCCACCUCUAACGCACAUGAUAGCUUAGAUUCAGAAGAGAGGACAACGUGCGCGUGGGACAACUUUGAAAGUAUGAAGAUGAUAUUCUAACGAGAGAGAGAGAGAGAGAGAG